UGGGUCAUUUCAACUGGUGUGUUGAAGCAUAUGGAUCUCUUCGCUGCUUUGGUUUCGUUCGUGGACUAACCUGCAUGUAUGGAUCUCUUCGCCGCCUAGGAGAGUCACUUCUGGGAGUAAUAUGAUUCUUGUGAGACUUGUCUUCGUCGAGUUGCAAACAGCUUGGAAUUCUGAUCUCUAAAGAAAUGGCGGCCGGUAAUUAAUACUAAUUAGGUUAUCUUCAGCAGAUUCUCUAUCUUAUCUCUUAUUUCAUCCUUUAUAUUUCAAAACAUUACUCUAAAUAGUGUCAUCUAUAGUUUCGUGUUACCUA
Molecule: long non-coding RNA, 310 nt
Organism: Zea mays
Lineage: Eukaryota; Viridiplantae; Streptophyta; Magnoliopsida; Poales; Poaceae
Exons: 2
Source: RefSeq, a predicted model, not a curated record